GGUGAACGCUGGCGGCGUGCCUAAUACAUGCAAGUCGAGCGAACAGACGAGGAGCUUGCUCCUCUGACGUUAGCGGCAGACGGGUGAGUAACACGUGGAUAACCUACCUAUAAGACUGGGAUAACUUCGGGAAACCGGAGCUAAUACCGGAUAAUAUAUUGAACCGCAUGGUUCAAUAGUGAAAGACGGUUUUGCUGUCACUUAUAGAUGGAUCCGCGCCGCAUUAGCUAGUUGGUAAGGUAACGGCUUACCAAGGCAACGAUGCGUAGCCGACCUGAGAGGGUGAUCGGCCACACUGGAACUGAGACACGGUCCAGACUCCUACGGGAGGCAGCAGUAGGGAAUCUUCCGCAAUGGGCGAAAGCCUGACGGAGCAACGCCGCGUGAGUGAUGAGGUCUUCGGAUCGUAAAACUCUGUUAUUAGGGAAGAACAAAUGUGUAAGUAACUAUGCACGUCUUGACGGUACCUAAUCAGAAAGCCACGGCUAACUACGUG
This 496-nucleotide ribosomal RNA is filed under the name uncultured bacterium. RNAcentral's name for it is "partial 16S ribosomal RNA". It matches the Rfam family "Bacterial small subunit ribosomal RNA", at positions 28 to 507 of the family's 1533-position model. The record is from RNAcentral.